This 675-nucleotide ribosomal RNA is filed under the name alpha proteobacterium IMCC14492. RNAcentral describes it as "bacterial SSU rRNA". It matches the Rfam family "Bacterial small subunit ribosomal RNA", at positions 28 to 749 of the family's 1533-position model. The record is from RNAcentral. Lineage: Bacteria; Pseudomonadati; Pseudomonadota; Alphaproteobacteria.
AACGAACGCUGGCGGCAGGCUUAACACAUGCAAGUCGAGCGCCCUGCUUGCAGGGAGCGGCAGACGGGUGAGUAACGCGUGGGAACAUACCUUUCGGUUCGGAAUAGCCCCGGGAAACUGGGUGUAAUACCGAAUACGUCCUUAGGGAGAAAGAUUUAUCGCCGAAAGAUUGGCCCGCGUUAGAUUAGAUAGUUGGUGAGGUAACGGCUCACCAAGUCGACGAUCUAUAGCUGGUUUGAGAGGAUGAUCAGCCACACUGGGACUGAGACACGGCCCAGACUCCUACGGGAGGCAGCAGUGAGGAAUCUUGGACAAUGGGCGAAAGCCUGAUCCAGCCAUGCCGCGUGAAUGAUGAAGGCCUUAGGGUUGUAAAAUUCUUUCAGCAGGGAAGAUAAUGACGGUACCUGCAAAAGAAGCCCCGGCUAACUCCGUGCCAGCAGCCGCGGUAAUACGGAGGGGGCUAGCGUUGUUCGGAAUUACUGGGCGUAAAGCGCUCGUAGGCGGAUUGGUCAGUCAGAGGUGAAAGCCCAGGGCUCAACCUUGGAAUUGCCUUUGAUACUGCCAGUCUUGAGUUCAGGAGAGGUAAGCGGAAUUCCGAGUGUAGAGGUGAAAUUCGUAGAUAUUCGGAGGAACACCAGAGGCGAAGGCGGCUUACUGGACUGAUACUGACGCUGA